Puntigrus tetrazona (Sumatra barb) is the source of this 727-nucleotide long non-coding RNA. RefSeq lists it as uncharacterized. The transcript has 3 exons. Lineage: Eukaryota; Metazoa; Chordata; Actinopteri; Cypriniformes; Cyprinidae. The record is from RefSeq and is a predicted model, not a curated record.
UUUCGGAAGAUAUGUUUCUUCCGCAUAACAUUACAAGAAGGAUUGAGUACCUGGAAAAUAAUUUUCAAAGAGGAAAAAUUGUCCUGUACAUGUAGAGUGGAUAUGUGCCUUUUAUCAGCCAUAAUCAACAAUGGCAUCGUCCAAUCCUCGGCGACGGCGCAAUAGCUUGAAUAUACCUCCCAAUAUAUCUGAUAGUGUUCGUCUCUUCAAUGAACUCUACGACAGACAUUACCCUGAACUCCAGGAGAUCAUACUGGCAUUGCAUAGUUUUGUUAAAAUAUUUGAAGAAUAUUUCAAAAGGUCUACCGAAGUCUCUAGAAGAGGAGGAAUUUUGGCAAUAACCGGGGGGACCAUCGUCAUCGCAGGAUUAGUUUUAGCUCCACUUACUAUGGUGGCUUCUGCUGCCGCAGCGGUAGGAGCAGGCAUGGCCUUAGGUGGUGGAAUUGGCAGUGGUCUCGUAAACUUAUUCAAAAUGUACCAGCAAGAUAAACUAUUAAAAAACAUUGCAAAUGGACUUAAAGGAUUUCAGAACAAAAUCGACCCUAUGGCUGACAUUCUUAAUGUCAUCUCAAAAAAACCUGAAAUACUGAAAGACCUUAAUACGCCAGAUGGUGAUAUCUGUUAUAUUAUGAAAUGUGGUGAAAUAUUACGCAUCAUUCGGAUAGGUGACAUCGGUGAAGUGGCUGGACAGAUGUCUAAAACAGUGCGUUUGACUGCAGCCCUUACG